UACGUAGGGUGCAGGCGUUAAUCGGAAUUACUGGGCGUAAAGCGUGCGCAGGCGGCUUGUUAAGAGAGAUGUGAAAGCCCCGGGCUUAACCUGGGAACUGCGUUUGUAACUGGCAAGCUUGAGUGUGGCAGAGGGGGGUGGAAUUCCACGUGUAGCAGUGAAAUGCGUAGAGAUGUGGAGGAACACCGAUGGCGAAGGCAGCCCCCUGGGCUAACACUGACGCUCAUGCACGAAAGCGUGGGGAGCAAACAGG
This 253-nucleotide ribosomal RNA is filed under the name uncultured bacterium. RNAcentral's name for it is "partial 16S ribosomal RNA". It matches the Rfam family "Bacterial small subunit ribosomal RNA", at positions 524 to 776 of the family's 1533-position model. The record is from RNAcentral.